Molecule: ribosomal RNA, 643 nt
Filed under: uncultured marine bacterium
Lineage: Bacteria
Description: bacterial SSU rRNA
Rfam family: Bacterial small subunit ribosomal RNA
Source: RNAcentral
CGCGGCCUAUCAGCUUGUUGGUGAGGUAAUGGCUCACCAAGGCGUCGACGGGUAGCCGGCCUGAGAGGGUGACCGGCCACACUGGGACUGAGACACGGCCCAGACUCCUACGGGAGGCAGCAGUGGGGAAUAUUGCACAAUGGGCGGAAGCCUGAUGCAGCAACGCCGCGUGAGGGAUGACGGCCUUCGGGUUGUAAACCUCUUUUAGCAGGGAAGAAGCGAAAGUGACGGUACCUGCAGAAAAAGCACCGGCUAACUACGUGCCAGCAGCCGCGGUAAUACGUAGGGUGCAAGCGUUAUCCGGAAUUAUUGGGCGUAAAGAGCUCGUAGGCGGUCUGUCGCGUCUGCUGUGAAAUUCCGAGGCUCAACCUCGGGCUUGCAGUGGGUACGGGCAGACUAGAGUGCGGUAGGGGAGAUUGGAAUUCCUGGUGUAGCGGUGGAAUGCGCAGAUAUCAGGAGGAACACCGAUGGCGAAGGCAGAUCUCUGGGCCGUAACUGACGCUGAGGAGCGAAAGGGUGGGGAGCAAACAGGCUUAGAUACCCUGGUAGUCCACCCCGUAAACGUUGGGAACUAGUUGUGGGGUCCUUUCCACGGAUUCCGUGACGCAGCUAACGCAUUAAGUUCCCCGCCUGGGGAGUACGG